Hylaeus anthracinus is the source of this 579-nucleotide long non-coding RNA. RefSeq lists it as uncharacterized. NCBI's taxonomy places the organism in Eukaryota, Metazoa, Arthropoda, Insecta, Hymenoptera, Colletidae. The record is from RefSeq and is a predicted model, not a curated record. The transcript has 3 exons.
GUGUGCAUCAGCGAAUCCAUAAAGCUGUGAAAUAAGCAAUGUUCCUGACCGGUAAGUAAGGAAAUAGUAAAAUGUACAUAUGGAAAGUGAAGAGGACCGUCUAUGACGAGGUUGGUGGUGGGACUCUUCAAACUUUCCUAUUAAUAAUUUUUAGUUGCAGCUAUUCUUUCAGUUCAAUGGGAAAUGACAUGUAUAAAAGUAAAUUUGCUUCAUUUAUUUCCACUGACUAGUAUCAAAGACAAAAACCAAGCUGUAUGAAGCAAGGAAAGAAAGCAAGUAUUCGAAAUGGUUGGAUACAGAUAAGUAACUAACAUACACACAUUUACAGUCUUAUUGUAUACAAGUUGAUUACAAUUCGUUCUAACUUUUUCUGACAGGUUCUAUGACCAGAAACUAUAAUCGAAAGGGGUCAGCGAUACUGCAACAAAAUAUUUAUCAGAGAUAGGGAACACUCGUAAUGGGUUCUUCAGGAUACUUAGAUGAAACUAGAGUGUACAGCAUGAUACUUCAAGACAUGUAUUUGUCGUCCGACAAUUGUAUUAAUUGAAAAUCACCAUAUAUGCGUAAAAGAAAGAAAGU